CCUACUAUAACCUACCCUAUGACUCCCUCCCCCCGACUAUAGCUGCUACAGUGCCAAUUCUUCGCUGACACAACGGUUCCCACUCCUUCGUAGCCUCACCCUCUGUCCGGUCGGCGUCGUCUCUCUCCCCUUGAUGAAGGGGACGCUAUACACAUCUGCUCAUCUCCCAUUCGUGGCUCUUUCUAGAAAAGGCUCAUGAAGGCGAGGCAAAAGUCGAUGGCGCACAUCUCCCGGUGAUCGGAGUGGUCUUCAUCUCGUCGUCUACACGCAAGAGGAUAUAUGGAUCUGAUUCAUUUGCUUUCCUCGCCCAGCGGUGUCGUCGUGACGGAAGAAGACAACAAAGGUCGCCGUCGAGUGAGGCCGUGAUGGCCCACAUCUCCUAUUCGUGCUUCUCCAACGAGGUAUCAAGCAAACUCUGUCGUACCUGCACCGGCAUGCAGCCAUUAGAAGAGAUGCUUCCUCUUCCCCAAGACCUAUUCGACUUCAUGUAUGGUUCCGGCAUAAUUUCAUAGAUUUGUAGGUUCUUAGUGAUUUCCAUGCAUCCUGACGUCUCCUCCCUCCCCUCCCUCCUCCCACGAGCGGCAACCAAAGGGGCCCACCGCUUACCCUCACACCAUGGUGGCUCCAACGGUCACCGACGGGAGGCGCUCGCCCACCAUCCUUUUGGCAUCUUCCUCGACAUGGAUCCAGCGCCUCCAUUCCGAUGUCUUCCUCAAAUGCUCAGAUCCGCCCCCUCCACCGCCUCUAGCCUCACACCGCGCUUUGACAGCUCUCCCGCCUCGGAUCCAGACACCCCGCCACCAAGCCUAUGUACUGUUUCUCGGUAUAUUGUAAUUGGGUCAGCCUUGAUGUGAUUCGCUAACCCUGUGAAAACUAUGCAUAUCUAGAAAUUGAAGAGGCAGCUAAGAAGAGGUUGAUCUGCAUGUGGCGUUGGCGGAUGAUCUAUUUUCGUUCGCUUGCAAUAAAGGAAUUGGUUUGCUUAUAUUUUUCUCUCAUUUCCAGCAUGAAAUUUGCUACUAUGCGAUGUCACUGGGGAACAUCUUUUCUAUCUUCCUUUUGUUCUGGGAUGUAUGACUUUUCCCUAUUCAGAAUGUUUUUAUCAUUCUGGGAUGUAGGCAGUAUCUGCUCAUAUUCUCUUGUACAUUUUUGCUAUUGCUUGAUACUUGAUAGACCAUUUCACUACAGUUUGUUAGGACAACUCAACUGUUUUAGGCAUGUGCAAGGAAAGUAAUGGAGAUGCUAACUGCAUGUUCUGAUGCAUUGAUGGAUUAGUCAUUUAUCCUCCACCCUGUGUGAUAUAUGCCUUUAUAAUUCCACUCGUUAUGUGCUACUUUUUCAUCCUUCAAAUUUGGCAACAACAAAUGCUUCUCGGUCCUCACUGCGUAGAUAGUGGUACUGCAGAUUGGUAGAGCAUCGGUUAAUCUAGCUAGGGAAUAUUUAUUCCACAUUUAUGACCUGUCAUUUUCCCAAAAGAUUAAAUUGUUAUCGGGAAGUUGGCUAUAUAUUUCUUCUCUGUUAUCUUAAAUAUCAUGGGCUUCUCAUACAAAUCAACUGUGUAUUUUCCUCUCCUCUUCCUUGUGUUUUAUCCUACCUUGCUCUAAGCUUCACCAUACACUGAAUUCUCUUGAGUCUUAACCAGAAUUGUUUCAUUAUUCCAUAUGCUGGCGAUGCAGCGGUAGGCUCGUUUAUAAUAGGCAGAACCUCCAUCCUGUAAGUAUUGUGACACCAACAACGAACUCAAAUAGGUCCAUCUCUAAUGAUGUACUCACCAUGUGUAAUUCAUUAUCCAAAAGUAGUUCGUGACAUGCAAUUUUAUUUUGUUUCCAUCACUAUUCACUGGACCUUUUCAUUUACCUCAUGUUUUAUGGGUGAUUUGGAUAAACAUGAGUAUAUCCUUCAGGUUUACAUAUUUUCUUAGAAAACAAUGACAUAGUCAUUAGAGUGAGGGAAAAUAUGUUGCAUAUUUAUAGCUUCUAAAACCAUUUUUAAAUGUGUGAACAUGAUGUCAUGCUAUUUCCUGAAAUUGUUUAUCUUUACAUAUUUAUAGCUACUAAUAGCAUUUUUAAAUAUGCGAACUCGGAUGUCAUGUUAUUUCCUAAAAUUGUUUGCCUUUAUGUAACUACCUCGCCUUCUGUUUCCUGAAAAACUAAAACAAUUCAAAUUGGUUUCAGACAAUUUUUGGCUUAGUUUGACUGUAUUUGCUUCCAUUAGGGAAAAACCAUCAUAAUGAUUGUGAUGUGGCUUAAUGAUUUUCCUCCAAAUUGUCGUAGCUGAUGAAUCACAUUUUAUGAAGAAUGGACAAGCAAAUAAACGGUUGCUUCACUUCCUAUUUUGCAGGUUUGGUGCUUCUUAUGAGGAAAACACAUUUUCUUUGUGAGUAUAAAUAUUAUAUGCCAAAUUCUUUUCGAAGAGAACACACUAAAUUCUAGUUAAUGAUUACCUUCUCAUCUUAGAUAAACACCUUCUAAUGUCUAUGCAUUGUUUUUUGAUUCAUGAACUUUUUAUGUUCUUUCUUGUAGCUUUGAAGGCCGGUAUUUGAGGUCAUUUCAUGCAACUAAUGAUUCUGGUGAAGAUUGUCCAACCUUAGGAUAUAACAUGCAUCAAUUAGACGUAUCUAUCAUGAUCCUUUCAUAGUUUAACGAGUAUUAUGUUUUUCUGUAAAUCAUAGAAAUGUUUAUUUUGUUAACGCAUAGAAAAUCAAUGACUAAGAUGUAGAGUUUGUAUGAAAGUCAAAAUGGAGAUCGAUGAUUUACGCUAAAACUUGUACUCAUUUACGCUGUUGUGGUUCAUGUUUUAUGUUGAAAUCAGUUUGAGAUAGAUCCCGUGCACACUCGGAUGCGCACAAUUUUUAAGGCAUA
RNAcentral lists this long non-coding RNA (2858 nucleotides) under Zea mays. RNAcentral describes it as "long non-coding RNA (ZMAY_LNC005117)". The record is from RNAcentral. Lineage: Eukaryota; Viridiplantae; Streptophyta; Magnoliopsida; Poales; Poaceae.